UACGUAGGUGGCGAGCGUUGUCCGGAAUUACUGGGUGUAAAGGGCGUGUAGGCGGGGCGUCAAGUCAGGUGUGAAAUUCCGAGGCUUAACUUCGGGUGUGCAUCUGAAACUGAUGUUCUUGAGUGUCGGAGAGGAAAGUGGAAUUCCCAGUGUAGCGGUGAAAUGCGUAGAGAUUGGGAGGAACACCAGUGGCGAAGGCGGCUUUCUGGACGAUAACUGACGCUGAGGCGCGAAAGCGUGGGUAGCAAACAGGAUUAGAUACCCUGGUAGUCCACGCCGUAAACGAUGGAUACUAGGUGUAGGAGGUAUCGACCCCUUCUGUGCCGGAGUUAACACAAUAAGUAUCCCACCUGGGGAGUACGGCCGCAAGGCUGAAACUCAAAGGAAUUGACGGGGGCCCGCACAAGCAGUGGAGUAUGUGGUUUAAUUCGAAGCAACGCGAAGAACCUUACCAGGGCUUGACAUCCCUCUGACAGGUAUAGAGAUAUACUUUCUUUUCGAAGCAGAGGAGACAGGUGGUGCAUGGUU
Molecule: ribosomal RNA, 528 nt
Filed under: uncultured bacterium
Lineage: Bacteria
Description: bacterial SSU rRNA
Rfam family: Bacterial small subunit ribosomal RNA
Source: RNAcentral